AUACAGAGGGGGCAAGCGUUAUUCGGAAUUAUUGGGCGUAAAGGGCGCGUAGGCGGCUUUUCAAGUGACGGGUGAAAUCCCUCGGCUUAACCGAGGAACUGCCUGUCAGACUGGAAGGCUUGAGACCGGGAGAGGUGAGUGGAAUUCCCAGUGUAGCGGUGAAAUGCGUAGAUAUUGGGAGGAACACCAGUGGCGAAGGCGGCUCACUGGACCGGAACUGACGCUGAGGCGCGAAAGCGUGGGGAGCAAACA
This 252-nucleotide ribosomal RNA is filed under the name uncultured prokaryote. RNAcentral's name for it is "partial 16S ribosomal RNA". It matches the Rfam family "Bacterial small subunit ribosomal RNA", at positions 523 to 774 of the family's 1533-position model. The record is from RNAcentral.